This 442-nucleotide unclassified non-coding RNA is filed under the name Hevea brasiliensis (rubber tree). Lineage: Eukaryota; Viridiplantae; Streptophyta; Magnoliopsida; Malpighiales; Euphorbiaceae. The record is from RNAcentral.
CGGGAUCCCCAGGGUUGGCUCCGGCGAGGCCGCCUUUCGCUUCUCCGAUCGGUAACGGUAAGAACCUUCCUUUCGGGAGACAGACAGGAUCCAACUCUGUGGGUAACCCGCAGGAUCAGCAGCAGGGGAAUGGAGUGAGCCAGAGCUUCGGGUUCGAUACCCAGCCAUUGGUUGACAACACCCCAUAUAAUGGUGGGGGAAUGAAAGGCCUGGAAAUUGGCUCUGCGGUGUGGCCUCUACUGGCUUUUGUGUGUUUCUUCGGAGGAGCUCAGAUGGUGUGAUUGAUUCUUGUGUGGACGCCAUUCUUGGUUUGGUGAUAUGUGAUAAACGAUAACAGUACAGUACGGUUGCUCAAGUGAGUGAUUGUGACAUAAUGGUUUGGUGAUAUGUGAUAAACGAUAACAGUACAGUACGGUUGCUCAAGUGAGUGAUUGUGACAUAA